GAUUGACCUCGGAUCMGGCAGGGAUACCCGCUG
RNAcentral lists this ribosomal RNA (33 nucleotides) under Neoprotoparmelia isidiata. Its description in RNAcentral is "partial large subunit ribosomal RNA". The record is from RNAcentral. Lineage: Eukaryota; Fungi; Ascomycota; Lecanoromycetes; Lecanorales; Parmeliaceae.